Molecule: RNA transcript, 5453 nt
Organism: Bemisia tabaci
Lineage: Eukaryota; Metazoa; Arthropoda; Insecta; Hemiptera; Aleyrodidae
Gene name: nephrin
Source: RefSeq, a predicted model, not a curated record
UCCUGUCGCGUGUGGCGCGUGCGAGCGCCCGUUCCAGCCCGGUUCUUUUUUCGUAGCUCGCGGGAAAAUCGCUCCCGGGAUUCGCAACCUUUUUCGGGGCCCGGUCACCACGUGCCACCCCUUCAACAACAAAUUUUGGUGUAAGGGUUGAUCUCUCAACACCCCCCUAUGCAAUACGCUUAGUGCCCCCCCUUUUUUUUAAAAAAAAAAAAUUAAAAAAAUUCUCAUUGAUAACGACCCACCAUUGUGGUCCCAGUGUUAAUUAAAAAGUACUUAAACGAGGUUUAAGCUAUCCUCGAAACCUUUUUCUGCCGGAGAUCGAUAUCUCGCGGUUUGAUGAUAGUUUUCGGUUUGUUUUUGUCGGGUUUGUUGCCGAAUGUUUUCAAAUCGAGCGGUGGCUUCUACUUUAACUUUUGUGAUUUGCUCUCGCAAUAAACUGGUGAGAAAUGUGCCUUGGAUUUGAGUUGAUGAUUUUUCUCAGAUUUCAGUGAAUACUUUAUUGUGAUUGUCAUGAGCCGAUUGAAUGAUAUGUUUGUGGCGUGAGUCGUUUUAAAUCUGAAAGGUUGUUUACCCUACGAACUGUUUUUCAGUACGUAGUAAUUCCCCCAAAAGUGCUCAGUGAUCUUUUGAUUAUCGUGUUUCUUCUCCGUACAUUGUUUGGCUCAAAUUAUACAGUGUUUCACAAAAAUAGUGAUAUUUGGUUCUGCACUGGAUGUCUUUAAUUUGGAGGCUUGAAGUUUAUGACUAUGGCUUAAUUAUCAUCGUGCAUAAGACUUUAAGGUGUGAAAGCGGUAGAAGAGUCCUCGGUCAGCUGAUUAAGAUCCAAUAAUGUUUCGCUCUCUCAUGUGCCUAAACUUUGAAUCAGCCCCGCGUUUCGGUUCAGUUUUCCUCCGGAGGUAAACUACGCCACGUUGGCUAAUCAUUCGAAAAUUAAUGAUUCCUCUUUAUUAUACGCACGAAAGGAUGCCUUGGAAGUGUAAGUUCAAGCGGGUUCUCUGAAUUUCUAAGAGAUUUUAGCGAGUCGGUAGUUUUGUGCGAGCCUGGCCUUUCGCGGGCUCCGGGUACGUGGCCGAAGAUGUAAAAUGGUCGCGAAAACUUUUGUGUCGUGCGGCCCGCAAGUUCUGGAUCGUUGUUCGCCCCAAGCGUGAGUCCGUGCUCCACCAUGCCAGUUUGGAUUAUCCUCUUCGUUCUCGUCUUCUUCUCUGCAGCCAACUGCCACGCCGCCCUCUUGAACAUCACCGAAGACUCAGGACCCAUAUCAAGCGUAGAGGCAGUAUUGGAUGGCAUCGCGAAGCUACCAUGCAACAUGUCCAUCUACGAUAAUGCGGUGGAGGAUAGAAUCGACCUUAUCAUGUGGUUCAAACACAAUCAGACCACACCAUUUUACAGCAUCGACUUUCGGGAGAAGCGGCGAGGAGAGGGGCAGCACUGGAACAGGGAAUCGCUCAACGGCCGCGCGUCUUUCAAACUCAACGGCCAAGACGCCAAACUCAUCUUGGAGGGCAUACAACAGUCCGACGGCGGUCUUUACCGGUGCAGAGUCGACUUCAGCAGGGCCCCUACUCGCUUCUCCAGAGUUAACCUCACUGUCAUUGAGCCUCCGGAGCAGUUGAGGGUUGUCGAUGUCAACGGAGAGCACAUAAAGGAUUAUGUCAUCGGCCCGUUCCGCGAGGGCGCCAUGGUCGAGAUAGCUUGUAACGCCACAGGGGGUCACCCGCGGCCGAACGUGACGUGGUGGAAGGGGAACGCGCGGCUCAACUCGAACGAGACGGUGGCCGAGCGGUCCGUCCGGAACACGCUCCGCUUCGGCCCGCUCCAGCGGAGCGACUUGGGCACGCUCCUCACUUGUCAAGCCAUCAACAACCAACUGUCGCCUCCGAUCCAGUCCCACGUCAGGCUCGACAUGACACUUCCGCCGUUGAUGGUGCGCCUGAAGAACGAGCAACACCCUUUGUCAGCCGAUACCUCAUACGAAAUCGUGUGUGAGGUGAUCGGGGCACGGCCAAAGCCGAACGUGACGUGGUGGCUGGAUGCAAAACAACUUCACACUGCCAAAGAACCGGUUCUGGUAGAUGACAAUAGCACGAUCAGCACCUUAAAAUUUAUACCGAAAUUAGGAGACACGGGAAAAACGCUGGCUUGUCGAGCUGGAUCUUUGGAGCACUUGUGGACGUUGAACAUAUAUCAUGUGCCGGUAGUUUCCCUCGGAUUACACCGCAGCUUGAGUUCUGUCGACUUGCGAGAGGGGAUAGAUGUGUACUUGGAGUGCAACAUAACUGCAAAUCCAAAUGUUUACAGAGUUACCUGGAGACAUAACGACAAGCCGUUGUUUCACAAUGCAAGCGCUGGAGUGAUAAUCGGGAACCAGACUCUUGUCUUGCAAAACAUUACGCGGCAUCGAGCCGGCCUUUACACGUGCGUCGCCAGCAAUUCUGAAGGCGAUGGAGUUAGCAAUCCGCUCAAUCUUGACGUCAAAUUCGCGCCGGUGUGCAAAGCUGGGCAGCCGACGCAGUACGGAUCGGGGCGAAAGGAGGCGGCCAGAGUGAUAUGCGAGGUGGAGGCGAACCCGGCCGCUGUGACGUUCUCGUGGCGACUCAACAACUCGACCCCGUUGGCGCCGGCCCCGCUGACAGCCGCCGACAACCAGCUCCGCUCCGUCGUUGCCAUGGCCCACCAGUACGGCGUCCUCUUCUGCUCGGCAGAGAACGAGAUCGGGCCCCAGAGGCAGCCUUGUGUCUUCCACGUCAUACCCACAGACAAACCGGAGCCGCCAACGAACUGCACGGUGCAGAACCGGACGAACGACCUGUUGAACGUGGAGUGCAGCCCCGGCUGGGACGGCGGUCUGCCCCAGUUCUUCGUCAUGGAGGUCGUCACGCACGGGACCCCCGAGAGACAGCUCAUGGUCAACAUGACCUCCUCCUCGCCCGUCUUCUCCACCUCCAGCCUGCUCCCCUCCUUCUCCUACGACGUCGUCCUCUACGCCGCCAACAGCAAGGGACACAGCGAGCCCAGAGUCCUCAGGAUAGAAGCCAGCAAAGCUCAGAGCACCCAGAGGCGAACAGCGCUUUUAGCGGGUGAGCUGGAGUUAGGCCCCAUCAUAGGAAUUUUAGUAGGCAGUCUAGUAACUCUAAUAUUCUUAGUUUGCAUAACAACGGUAUUGGUGCGACGACGCCACAUGAAGAAACACUCAAAAAUGACAGAUUCGUCAACUAAAGAAGACCUGAACGACAGCGCAGAUAGUCUAGAUAAGAAUCCGGACAUCAUUCCUCACGAAGGUGAUUGUUUGGAUGAGGAUGAAAAAGCCUUUGAGAUGUACAGGAAAAGGAGGUCGUAUCCUUCUCAUAUAGGAUCAAAUAACUGUGAUACAAUAAGUAAAAAUGACAAGAUGCACGCGGAACUCUCGCUGACGAGUCCGUUGUACUCGACGCUACUGGCGCAGCAACACAUGUUGAGGCCACCGGUGGAACCGAACCCUCCUUGUCCGGCCGACACGACGGCCACCACUCCUCUCAUUGAGGCCCACCAAAGAGAGAGCAUGGUAUAAAUCACAAUCACCACCCUCUUUCUGCGUGUUCGUGUUCGUGUCCAUGUCCUUAGUAUAUUGUCAGGAAAGUGGAGUUCUGCGAUGAAGUUCACUGUCAAACUUUGAAACCUUACCCUAAACAAACCGUGACGGCCACGAGGUUUUGACAACCUGAGAACCCUGAAGGUUAUGUUGUUACGUUUUGUUAGUGCAUAGAAUACUUUCUAAGGUGUAAAAGUUUCAACUCGCUCAAUACAUUUUUAUUUUUGACUUAUAUUUUUUAUCGUUGUUCUCCAGGUUAAAUUCAGUAUUUCAUGUUGUACAAUUCAAAAGAUAAAAUGCGCAAUUAAGUAGCUUGUACAGUUUUUUUUUGUCUCUCAGAUGCUGUUUUAAAAUGUGAUAUACUCAGACUUUGUAUAAAAUUCAGGAUUUCUACCGAGUAACAAAACCGAUUAAACUCACGAUUGAUUUAUCAUAAAAUGUUACCCGUAGCCCUAAGUUUACAUGAUAAAUGUGAGCAAACUAUCUGAAUCAGACAUAAAAAGACGAAGUUCCAUUCCAAAUUUUCAAAGCCGUCGGCUCAAAGCUGAUUCAGUUUCGUCUUUGGUAAAGAUCAAGACUCUCCCUAAACUUUAGGCAAAUACUGCAUGAGCUGAAAAUGAUCUCAAUCGUAGUUUUUAUCACAUACUUAAUGUGAGCCUGUACUGUAAAACAUCUCUAAAAAUUUGAAACAAAAUUCAUAAAUGCGUAAAGACUCAACUUUUGGAUUUGGUAUCAGAGCUUUGAAGUAGACUUCGUGUGGGUGAAUUUGUGUACUACCUUGCAUUGAAACGCAGCUCCUAAAGCAGGUUUUUGUCAAAAAAUCUGCGGACAUUUUCAGAAUGAACCAUAGAUCUGAUAUUUUAACUUUAUUUCUGACGUCCUAAACUUUCCCUCAAAAUAUUCAAUUGUUUAUUCGUUCACCCAGCGUUCUAGGAUAAUUUUUACACACAUUGCCAUACUCUGCAAUCAGCUUGAGAUGUUUGAUUACUUUUUCUAAUCAACGGCUGAAAAGUUUGAGAGGAAUAUUACAACUUUAUUUCGGUUGACUAUGCUUUUUGCGUGACACAUAGGCGACCACAGUGAGAUUUUAAUUCAGUCUUGAAUCCGGUCUAUUCCGUGAGAUAUCGUUGAAACCUCGAAUCAGAAUUGUUAAGUUUCCCCAAUUAAUAUCGAUCAUAGAUAAACUAUAGUAUGAUGUUUAUGAUUCUUGUGAAUUUUUGUGGCGAAACGUUUCAGAAAUCUUUUCUUCUAUUUAUAUAAGUUGUAUGUUUACAUCGAGGUUUACUCUUUUCGAAAAGUUUGUUCAUUUUUCGUUCCAGGAAGUAAGAAAUCCAUUUAGAAAGGAAAUCAAAAGAGAAACGAAGUCGUGAAAGAGGAUUGAUGCCGCCAAGUGUCGGAUUUCGGGAGACUUUUGGAUGAAAGUAUUCUAAGUUUCGACAGCGUUGUAACAUUAAGAUAAAUAUUACGCAAGACUAUGGUACUAUGGUAUAUGCAACCAGGACUUGGAUUGCCUUUAUCCAAAAAGUCUAUGUGGGUCCGCUCACUAUAUUUUUUUUCUAUGAAUAAAGGAGAAACUAUACGAUUGGAUAUAAAUGAUGAUUUUUGCGGUUACAUGCGUUUUAACACUGGUGUUCUUUUAACAGGAAGUACCAACUUCUCAUGCUGAUUCGAUCAAAAUAGUAUCAAUUACGCAAACGGUAAGGAAGCUAGGUUCAGAGUAAGUCUGGGCUUACAGAUAUUUCUCGGUUCUCCAAGCCACAAAGAGUGUGAUUUUGUCCCCUUAUAUGUAGAGAUUGUAAAUAUUUGUACCUUUGCACUGUAAAAAUGUAAAAAAAUUAAUUUAUAAAAAAAGAAAAUAAAAUAAAUUUAUGUAAGUAAAACUUAA